RNAcentral lists this ribosomal RNA (907 nucleotides) under uncultured archaeon. RNAcentral's name for it is "bacterial SSU rRNA". It matches the Rfam family "Archaeal small subunit ribosomal RNA", at positions 1 to 884 of the family's 1478-position model. The record is from RNAcentral.
UUCCGGUUGAUCCUGCCGGACCCCACUGCUAUCGGGAUGGGACUAAGACAUGCUAGUCGUGCGCUUCCAAGCCACGGUGGAGGCGCGGCGCACAGCUCAGUAGCACGUGGCUAACCUACCCUUGGGACGGAAACAACCCCGGGAAACUGGGGCUAAUUUCCGAUAGGUGAAGACUCCUGGAAUGGAUCUUCGCCCAAAAGGCGUUUAGACCAUGCUUCUAAGCGCUGCCCAAGGAUGGGGCCGCGGCCGAUCAGGUUGUUGGUGAGGUAACGGCUCACCAAGCCUUUAACCGGUUCGGGCCGUGAGAGCGGGAGCCCGGAGAUGGGCACUGAGACAAGGGCCCAGGCCCUACGGGGCGCAGCAGUCGCGAAAACUUCGCAAUACGCGGGAGCGUGACGGGGCCAUCCCGAGUGCCGUCCGCUGAGGAUGGCUUUUCCCCAGUGUAGAUAGCUGGGGGAAUAAGGAGAGGGCAAGUCUGGUGUCAGCCGCCGCGGUAAUACCAGCUCUCCGAGUGGUGGGGAUGUUUAUUGGGCUUAAAGCAUCCGUAGCUGGCUGGGCAAGUCCCCUGUUAAAUCUAACGAUUCAAUCGUUGGAUUGCGGGGGAUACUGCUCGGCUAGGGGGCGGGAGAGGCCGACGGUAUUCCCGGGGUAGGGGUGAAAUCCUAUAAUCCCGGGAGGACCACCAGUGGCGAAGGCUGUCGGCUAGAACGCGCCCGACGGUGAGGGAUGAAAGCUGGGGGAGCGAACCGGAUUAGAUACCCGGGUAGUCCCAGCUGUAAACGAUGCAGGCUAGGUGUCCGGGCGGCCACGUGCCGCUCGAGUGCCGCAGGGAAACUGUUAAGCCUGCCGCCUGGGGAGUACGGCCGCAAGGCUGAAACUUAAAGGAAUUGGCGGGGGAGCACCACAA